Molecule: non-coding RNA, 84 nt
Organism: Hypoxylon sp. NC0597
Lineage: Eukaryota; Fungi; Ascomycota; Sordariomycetes; Xylariales; Hypoxylaceae
Source: the annotation of a GenBank genome assembly
GGUGUCUUGGAGAAGUGGUUAACUCGCUCCCUUUGGGCUUGUGCAAGCUGGGAGAGGUCAGGGGUUCGAACCCCCUAGGCGCCC